GCGUCGGUACCUAAGCGGUCAAAAGGGACUGGCUGUAAACCAGUUGACUCCGGUCUUCGUUGGUUCGAAUCCAACCCGGCGCACCA
RNAcentral lists this transfer RNA (86 nucleotides) under bacterium. RNAcentral describes it as "tRNA-Tyr". It matches the Rfam family "tRNA". From Rfam's summary of the family: Transfer RNA (tRNA) molecules are approximately 80 nucleotides in length. Their secondary structure includes four short double-helical elements and three loops (D, anti-codon, and T loops). Further hydrogen bonds mediate the characteristic L-shaped molecular structure. tRNAs have two regions of fundamental functional importance: the anti-codon, which is responsible for specific mRNA codon recognition, and the 3' end, to which the tRNAs corresponding amino acid is attached (by aminoacyl-tRNA synthetases). tRNAs cope with the degeneracy of the genetic code in two manners: having more than one tRNA (with a specific anti-codon) for a particular amino acid; and 'wobble' base-pairing, i.e. permitting non-standard base-pairing at the 3rd anti-codon position. The record is from RNAcentral.